RNAcentral lists this long non-coding RNA (983 nucleotides) under Cricetulus griseus (Chinese hamster). RNAcentral's name for it is "lncRNA (ENSCGRG00015040701.1)". The record is from RNAcentral. Lineage: Eukaryota; Metazoa; Chordata; Mammalia; Rodentia; Cricetidae.
CCCGGGGUCGCGGCGAGCGUCGCGCGGGCGACAGGCCCUGCCCUGCCCCGGUACUGCCGCAGGGAGGGCCCGGGCUGCGCCCCGAAACUGCCAGGCCCCAGGCGGGCCGCGCCCCGAGCUGGGGCUGCCUUGUUAGGCAAAUGGAACAAGAAACUUGGUCCUGGGCCUCCAUGCUUGGUCUCUGCUAUUUCUGCCGGCAGGGAUGUCAGCCUAACCCUGAAACAGAAGAGACUGAAAAAGCUGUGAGAUUCAGGUCAGGUUUGGAAUGCUCGGCAGCAGGCUGGUCCCCACAGUGAGGUCUGCCUAGCUGUGACCCCACUCCAGGGCACUGAGGCUCUUGUGUGGAGUUCAGCCUCCAGCCCCACCCUCGAUUGCUGUGCCUCUGAGUACUGCUUGGCUUCCACCUCUGCACCUAAGGUAACUGACUGCCCCCACCCCUAGGCCCAGCGACCUGAGGCUUCCGGUUAUAACCGCUGAGUAGCUCAGAAGCCCCGUCCUUGAUGUAGCUGGACCGCUGUAUGCAUGGGGGGGAAGCCUGGGGGGUAGAGGCAGAGGGAGGGUUUCCCAGCUCGGGAGGAGGAGGCAAAAGUGGGCAGGGCCUGGACAACCAAGAAAAUGGGGCAGAUUCAGUUUCAGCUCCCACCCUGACCUCACACUGCAGGGAGGGACAGGAAUCCCAUUCUCCAUUCUCCCCAGGGUCCCUGUUCCCAGUUCAUCAGCUGUAGUGAGGCCAGAUAGGCUGAGAGGGCUGCAGGGGACAGGACAGGUUAACCUCUUCGCCACCACACCUCCUGCUCUGGCGGCUGCCUGCAGAGCUAGUCUGGGUCGGCGCCUGGCAGGUCAGGAGGCAGGUCAGGGCCGGACAAAGGGCAGAAAGCUGCUGAUCUGGACGUACUCUGCCCCACCGCUCUCCACCUGCUGCAGCUGGAGUUGUGCAGGACGCUCGGAAGGGACACUGUGACCCUACCACUGCCCUCGCCGGG